Molecule: long non-coding RNA, 2204 nt
Filed under: Equus caballus (horse)
Lineage: Eukaryota; Metazoa; Chordata; Mammalia; Perissodactyla; Equidae
Description: lncRNA (ENSECAG00000034466.3)
Source: RNAcentral
CUGCAGGCUGUGAUAGCAUUCCUGCACAUGUGCAGGCCUGCUGCUGCCUCCUCUUACAGUUGUGCUGAGCCUGGUCCAUCUUCAUCCCUGCACCCACGCGAGGAUAUCGUAGUCACAGACACACCUGAGGAUUAGCUAACAGAAAAAUGGUGUUCGACACCCUUAUCAAGGGUCUAUCUCUUCAUCUGGCGAUCUGUGUCUAUGUAGAUGUGUGCGAGUCACACAUACACACGCAGACACACAUACACGCAGAGCAGAAACUGACUUCAGUGCCAUUUUGCAUCAUCACCCCUAUUAGGAUUAUCAGAGUAUUGGAAUUGGAAGAAAUAUGGUUUUAUGUCACAAUAAAACGCCGGUCACAUCUAAUUCUGCCCUCAAACAAACAGAUUUCUGAAAGCCUUGCAGAGAAAUUUGAAAUAACUUUAAAGAGGGGGUUUUUGGAUAAAGUCUUUAUCCAGGGGCUUGUUCAACUGCAGUGUAAAAGGUUUAGAGAGAGAGGAGAGGAGAGAGAGAGAGGAAUAGAAGGAGGGAGGGAGAAGGGAAGAGGGAGAGAAGAAAAGAAGGAGAAAGGAAGACCCACACAGCCGUUCUGCUUGCUGAUCUCUCUUCAAACACGCUGGAGCAUCGUCAAGAAAAUGCAGUUUGGAUGAAAGAGGCUUGGGAAGGGGAGCAGACGGACGGUGGGCUUCCGCUGGGGCUUUGGGUGUGGGAAGUUGCUUAUGCACACCCCUCUGAAACAGACACUUGUUCCCCAGUUGUUCUGGAACUAUUAGUAGUUGACGGCACGUCUUUCAAGAAUCAUAAACAAAUCAAUGUCAGUUCUGUGAGGCCUUUGGAGCUCAGAGGCAACUCUAGUCUUUUUUUUUUUUUGAUUCCUUUGCCAGGAGAUUUCAACCUGCUUGAGGAUUUAGGUCUUGUGUUCCCCCUAAGAAAAUCUUCUGUCAAACACCGCAGACAGCUCUGGCCUUUGCUCACAUCCGUGGGCUCACGGCAAGCACAUAACCAUCACUAACAUAAGAAACCACUCGUUUCUUCUCUUCUGUGUGGCACAAAGCAAUUUAGCCAGACAGGGCCCUGCCCACCAGGGGCUUAGCCCAGAAAAUGUCCUUAAUUUUUGCCUCUCGCUUUGUUCAGGGCCCGGCUCAUGGCAGACCGGGUACCUUGAUUGAUAAUGAUGGCCGAGUCUUACAUGGUGCCCUGCUGGUGAGUAUUGGUGAUUUCAGAGCACUUUAAGAAUCUGUUAGAAAUAAAUCGCUUGGAUUUUCUAAGGUGUUUUGUAUAAGAGUAACUGGCUUUUCAAAAAAGCAUGCUGAAACCUGGGGCAGUUUGGGAACUUAAAACUUGUCCUAAGGCAAGUCCGCCAGGCUAAGUACCUCCAGCCAGCUGUGCAAAAAGGGAGAUUUUGAGGAACAGACCGAGCCAAACAUCUGACCUGGAAGCAAAGAGUGGACUUUCCUGCCUCAUUUCUUUACCUGAAGAGAUAGAGAAGUGGUAGAAAUGGAGAGAGAAGGGUCAUUUGAGGUCCUUCCAUCCUGUAGUGAAAUGACUGCCAGGACUGAGACAGAGGCACGAGAGGCCUAGAAACUGCUUUAACCCAAGACAAGUCUGAACUGCUGGAAGUGCUUUUGACUCUAAGCGGUGAUUUAGAAAAAAUCUUUUUAAAUGCAUAGAUCUUAAGUGAACAGUUUUAUUGACUUCGAUGUAAGUAUAUACCUGUGUGACCAACACUCCAAUUAACGCUCAACAUCUCUGUCCACCUGGAUCUCAAUGAACGGUGUCCUUACAGCCUCCAAAUGCACCAUCUGUGGAGACAUGCGGUGGCCCAGUAGGCAGGUGAAGAGAUGCUGGCGCGCAGGUAAUGAGCAGAUUAUUGGACAUGGCAAUAAUAACUAUGAUAUUUGGCUUUUCAGUUUGCCAAACACUUUCACAUACUUUGUCUUAGCGUAUCCUUCCAGAUGAUGAAGAUGAUGAGGAUAAUAUCAUCAAUAACAACAAUACUCGUAGACACUGGGAUAUGUUCAUGUUGUGUCAAGUACAUAUUUAUCAUGACAUUUAAUCCUUUCAACAAUGCUUUAAGGAUGGUAUUAUUUUAUAGUUGAAGAGACUGAAGCAAAGAGAGGUUGAGUAAUUCACCCUAGAUCACACAGGGAAGUGAGAAUCCAGAAACGGUGCUUUUAACAAAACGCGUGAGGCCUGGAAAGGGC